AAAAUUUAGUUAAAAAAAUAACAUUAGCCUGUCAUGCUAAAAUUGUAUAUAAAAACAUAAUUACAAUUUUUA
This 72-nucleotide transfer RNA is filed under the name Hemipyxis plagioderoides. RNAcentral describes it as "tRNA-Asp". Lineage: Eukaryota; Metazoa; Arthropoda; Insecta; Coleoptera; Chrysomelidae. The record is from RNAcentral.